RNAcentral lists this ribosomal RNA (253 nucleotides) under uncultured bacterium. Its description in RNAcentral is "partial 16S ribosomal RNA". It matches the Rfam family "Bacterial small subunit ribosomal RNA", at positions 524 to 776 of the family's 1533-position model. The record is from RNAcentral.
UACAGAGGGGGCAAGCGUUAUUCGGAAUUAUUGGGCGUAAAGGGCGCGUAGGCGGCCUGGCAAGUGGAAGGUGAAAUCCCUCGGCUUAACCGAGGAACUGCCCUCCAAACUGCUUGGCCUGAGACCGGGAGAGGUGAGUGGAAUUCCCAGUGUAGCGGUGAAAUGCGUAGAUAUUGGGAGGAACACCAGUGGCGAAGGCGGCUCACUGGACCGGUACUGACGCUGAGGCACGAAAGCGUGGGGAGCAAACGGG